This 258-nucleotide ribosomal RNA is filed under the name uncultured bacterium. Its description in RNAcentral is "partial 16S ribosomal RNA". It matches the Rfam family "Bacterial small subunit ribosomal RNA", at positions 29 to 312 of the family's 1533-position model. The record is from RNAcentral.
AGCGAACGCUGGCGGCAGGCUUAACACAUGCAAGUCGAACGGGCGUAGCAAUACGUCAGUGGCAGACGGGUGAGUAACGCGUGGGAACGUACCUUUUGGUUCGGAACAACCCAGGGAAACUUGGGCUAAUACCGGAUAAGCCCUUACAGGGAAAGAUUUAUCGCCGAAAGAUCGGCCCGCGUCUGAUUAGCUAGUUGGUGUGGUAACGGCGCACCAAGGCGACGAUCAGUAGCUGGUCNGAGAGGAUGAUCAGCCACA